AAAACUCUUGUUAAUUAAUAGACUUCCUAGUUCCUCCUUCCAAAACUAGAAGUUUUGGUUUCUUUGUAACUUGAUCGUGAAUGAUACUCCGUCUCAAUUUGACUUUAAUGUUGGAGUUGUUGGAAAUUACAGUAUUAACAAGACAAAGAAACAGUAAAACAUAGUAAACCGAAGCGUAGUAAAACUACUGUUCUAAAAAGUGAUUUCGCCCUCACUAAUUUUAACCAUUGGUACAGAUGAGGUCCGGCGUCUACUCUCCAGAAUUCAAGGGUGAAACCUUCAAUUGUGUGUACUCA
This 296-nucleotide long non-coding RNA is filed under the name Panax ginseng (ginseng). RNAcentral's name for it is "long non-coding RNA (PGIN_LNC008437)". Lineage: Eukaryota; Viridiplantae; Streptophyta; Magnoliopsida; Apiales; Araliaceae. The record is from RNAcentral.